AACCACACUUCCAAAUCCUUGUUCACUCACGCCAACACUGGCCUCCCGACAAAUUAGGAGAUGUUCAAGGAGAAACACGAGGUUGCCAUGCUAGGGGCACCCCAUAGCUCUGCUCCCUUGAUGUCCUCUGUGAUCCACAUCUGCAGUGAGACCUCCAUGCCCAAACCCUGUUCAAAAUGCUCUUCAUAAACUAGUGCUUCCUGGGCUUCAUAGCAUUAGUGUACUGCAUGAAGUCUAGGGACAGGAAGAUGGUGGGUGAUGUGACCGGGGCGCAGGCCUGUGCCUCCACCACCAAGUGCUUGAACAUCUGUACCCUGUUCCUCGACAUCCCUGUGGUCAUUGCACUCAUCAUGCUUUUCACCACUAG
This 367-nucleotide long non-coding RNA is filed under the name Homo sapiens (human). Its description in RNAcentral is "non-protein coding lnc-RPA2-4:1". Lineage: Eukaryota; Metazoa; Chordata; Mammalia; Primates; Hominidae. The record is from RNAcentral.